RNAcentral lists this ribosomal RNA (572 nucleotides) under uncultured bacterium. RNAcentral's name for it is "bacterial SSU rRNA". It matches the Rfam family "Bacterial small subunit ribosomal RNA", at positions 390 to 957 of the family's 1533-position model. The record is from RNAcentral.
UGCAUGCCGCGUGAGUGAAGAAGGCCUUCGGGUUGUAAAGCUCUUUUGUCAGGGAAGAAACACCGGCUCUAACACAGUCCGGGAAUGACGGUACCUGAAGAAUAAGCACCGGCUAACUACGUGCCAGCAGCCGCGGUAAUACGUAGGGUGCGAGCGUUAAUCGGAAUUACUGGGCGUAAAGCGUGCGCAGGCGGUUAUACAAGACAGGCGUGAAAUCCCCGGGCUUAACCUGGGAAUGGCGCCUGUGACUGUAUGGCUAGAGUGUGUCAGAGGGGGGUAGAAUUCCACGUGUAGCAGUGAAAUGCGUAGAUAUGUGGAGGAAUACCAAUGGCGAAGGCAGCCCCCUGGGAUAACACUGACGCUCAUGCACGAAAGCGUGGGGAGCAAACAGGAUUAGAUACCCUGGUAGUCCACGCCCUAAACGAUGCUGACUAGUUGUUCGGGAUUUACAUCCUGAGUAACGUAGCUAACGCGUGAAGUCAGCCGGCUGGGGAGUACGGUCGCAAGAUUAAAACUCCAAGGAAUUGACGGGGAACCGGACAAGCGGUGGAUGAUGUGGAUUAAUUCGAUUG